This 412-nucleotide unclassified non-coding RNA is filed under the name Bombus terrestris (buff-tailed bumblebee). RNAcentral describes it as "misc RNA ENSBTSG00005024398.1". Lineage: Eukaryota; Metazoa; Arthropoda; Insecta; Hymenoptera; Apidae. The record is from RNAcentral.
AGAGGUAGAGCACGUGCGUACGCCUGACCGCAGACGCGACGUUUGCACACCUGAUGAAGCACAUGCAGGCUGCUGGGAGUUCUUCCUUACGUAACCCUCGAGUAUGCCACACGAGCCUCAUAUAUCGACACCUGUAGCUACGCGAGAAACGAUCGACGUUGGCAUCCUCGACAUUGCGACAUUUCAAACUUCGAGAGUCCUAUUAACAAAGCGUCUACAGUGCACGGUAUACGGAGUUGCGUGUAGGACAGGACAACGUCCGUGAAAUAUGGUAAUUCGUGUUCGUUGAGAGGGAAGCACGGCUGCGUGAAAAACGAAAAGAAUGCGAGGCGUACGCUCGGGGCACGGAUCGUCGAUCGAGGAACAGUUAUACUAUAUCCGGCCAGUCCGAGGAAGUGUGGCGAAUUUCUCG